UAUGACCUUCCAUCGCAUGGUGGUUGGUGGAAAGCUUUUGUGGUUUUGGAUGGACUCGCGGCCUAUCAGCUUGUUGGUGGGGUAAUGGCCUACCAAGGCGACGACGGGUAGCCGGCCUGAGAGGGUGACCGGCCACACUGGGACUGAGACACGGCCCAGACUCCUACGGGAGGCAGCAGUGGGGAAUAUUGCACAAUGGGCGAAAGCCUGAUGC
This 214-nucleotide ribosomal RNA is filed under the name uncultured Arthrobacter sp. Its description in RNAcentral is "partial 16S ribosomal RNA". It matches the Rfam family "Bacterial small subunit ribosomal RNA", at positions 173 to 389 of the family's 1533-position model. The record is from RNAcentral. Lineage: Bacteria; Bacillati; Actinomycetota; Actinomycetes; Micrococcales; Micrococcaceae.